Molecule: microRNA, 22 nt
Filed under: Populus trichocarpa (black cottonwood)
Lineage: Eukaryota; Viridiplantae; Streptophyta; Magnoliopsida; Malpighiales; Salicaceae
Also listed under: 1 other name
Description: ptc-miR482b-3p
Gene: ptc-miR482b-3p
Source: miRBase by way of RNAcentral
UUACCAAUACCUCUCAUGCCAA